CAUCUAAGUACCCCGAGGAAAAGAAAUCAACCGAGAUUCCCCCAGUAGCGGCGAGCGAACGGGGAGCAGCCCAGAGCCUGAAUCAGUGUGUGUGUUAGUGGAAGCGUCUGGAAAGGCGCGCGAUACAGGGUGACAGCCCCGUACACAAAAAUGCACAUGCUGUGAGCUCGAUGAGUAGGGCGGGACACGUGGUAUCCUGUCUGAAUAUGGGGGGACCAUCCUCCAAGGCUAAAUACUCCUGACUGACCGAUAGUGAACCAGUACCGUGAGGGAAAGGCGAAAAGAACCCCGGCGAGGGGAGUGAAAAAGAACCUGAAACCGUGUACGUACAAGCAGUGGGAGCCUCUUUUAUGGGGUGACUGCGUACCUUUUGUAUAAUGGGUCAGCGACUUAUAUUCUGUAGCAAGGUUAACCGAAUAGGGGAGCCGAAGGGAAACCGAGUCUUAACUGGGCGUUAAGUUGCAGGGUAUAGACCCGAAACCCGGUGAUCUAGCCAUGGGCAGGUUGAAGGUUGGGUAACACUAACUGGAGGACCGAACCGACUAAUGUUGAAAAAUUAGCGGAUGACUUGUGGCUGGGGGUGAAAGGCCAAUCAAACCGGGAGAUAGCUGGUUCUCCCCGAAAGCU
RNAcentral lists this ribosomal RNA (627 nucleotides) under Escherichia coli. RNAcentral's name for it is "partial 23S ribosomal RNA". It matches the Rfam family "Bacterial large subunit ribosomal RNA", at positions 199 to 867 of the family's 2925-position model. The record is from RNAcentral. Lineage: Bacteria; Pseudomonadati; Pseudomonadota; Gammaproteobacteria; Enterobacterales; Enterobacteriaceae.